RNAcentral lists this long non-coding RNA (3272 nucleotides) under Citrus x clementina. Its description in RNAcentral is "Citrus clementina (C. clementina) long non-coding RNA (CCLE_LNC003970)". Lineage: Eukaryota; Viridiplantae; Streptophyta; Magnoliopsida; Sapindales; Rutaceae. The record is from RNAcentral.
CUAAAAAGAAAAUAUAAAAUUUAUUUUUUAAAAUUUCAUCAAAAAACAUAUCCUUUAGGCCUAAGGUUUCGUUUGUCGCUUCAUACAUUAAAAUAUAUAUUUUUUAAUCAUUAUUAAUUUUUUUCACGAUUAAUGUUCUUAAUUUUUUUCUUGUCUUGUUAAAGUUUUGUAAUUAACUUAAAUUGUAUAACAUUUUGAAUUGUCAUUUCAUUUUUUUUUAAUGUUUUAUGCUUCCAAUAUAGAAUGAUUGGCAAGGGAAAAUAUUGCAAAGCAUUUGACGCAGAAACUGCUAUUGGCAUCCUCUCAAGUGGUUGAAUCCAAGUAAGGCUGGUGAGCAGCCCAAGCUUCAGCUGGCUGUCUCCAGAUCAAAGGGGAAAUAGAAAUAAUAAAAUUAGUUUUCUAUAAUCCCUUGGGAUUAUUUUAUCUUUUUUUCUCUAAUGGUGCAUAGUUGAGUAGUGAACAAGAAUUGGCAUUGGUUGUAAAUGAACUUUUUUUUUUAAUUUGUUCUCCAAAAGAAAGAUGGUGUAUAAAUAAUUUCUCUUAAAAAUUAUAGCAUUGAAUUUUUCUAUUAGAGAAAAUUAAUUUUAAUAUUUAAUAUAUUUUCUUUUUCCUUGAUUGCAAUGAUUUUCUAAUGUGUUUAUAAAAUUAUUGUUUAAUUUGAGUUACUUUUAUUGUGUUUAAUGUACUUGGUAAAGAUAAAUUAAUGGCGACUUAAUAGAACUGGAUUUAAGUCAAUGUUACUUUGUCAAUCUUAAGCUAAAGAUUGAUGAGAGAUUAAAGAAAUAAUUUUUAAAACUAAAUAUAAUGAUGAAAAUUAUAUGUUGCACAAUUGUUUUAAAAAAAAUCUAAGCACAAUUAUGUAAAAUAAUAAAAUGAGCAUUAAUAUGUAAAAGAUCAAAAGUUUAAAGUAUACAUACGAUUAAAUUCAAGAAAUACCAUGAAGUAACAAAGACCGUUGGGGGCCGGGGGGGAGGGGAGUGGACUUAUACAAAUUCAUAGUGUUGAAAAAAAUUGAGGGUUGCAACAAUGAUUUUUCAAAAUUAUAUUGUAAGUUGAUAUUUAUUAAAAAAAAGCGGGGUCAAACGUAAUUUACCUCAAUAUUUUAAUGUUUUACUAUAAUAAAAUGCGACUCGUAACAACCACCUAAAAUGUUGGCAUACAGUAAAAACAUUUGGAAUAUAAAACCAAAAAAAUAGUGGAAGUAACUAUUAAAGAGCUGAACCCAUAAAUUGGAACGACUUACUGAUGAUUUGGUAAAUUUCAAUGGGAAUUAGAGACAUGAAAAAUAAACUUGAAACACACACCUACAUGUUGGAAUUCAAUAAAAAGUCUUGGUAUAUAGAACCAAAAAAUAGUGGGAAAAAAGUGGGAGAGUUAACCUGAAAGUUGGAAUUACGCAACGAUAGUUUGAUAAAUUCCAAUGGGAAAUAGGGACUAAGAAUUGAAUUUGAAACUUUCACCCAAAAUGUUGGAAUUCAUUAAAAAAAACCUGGAAUAUAUAACUAAAAGGUACUGGAAAUAAAAGUUGAAGAACUUAACACAAAAGUUGGAAUAACUUAUUAAGAAUUUGAUAAAUUCUAAUGACAAGUUGGAAUCUAAAAAAUAAACUUGAAACUUCUAUUCAAAAUAUUGGAAUUCAUUAAAAAAAGUAGAAAUAUAGAACUAAAAAGUGGUGGGAACAAGAGUUGAAGAACAUAACGCAAAAUUGGAAACGGCUCACCCACAAUUUGAUAAAUUCCAACUAUAAGUAGGGAUCCAAAAAGUGAAAUUGAAACAUACACCCGAAAUUUUAAAAUUCAAUAAAAAAAAGUAGAAAUAUAAAACAAAAAACUAGUAGGAAAAAGAGUUGAUGAAUUUAACCGAAAAGUACGAACACUUUACCAGGAAUUUGAUAAAUUUCAACAGGAAGUAGGGAUAUAAGAAGUGAACUUGAAACAUCCACCCAAAAUAUUGAAAUUUAAUAAAAAGGGCAGGAAUAAAUAACCAAAAAGUAGUGGGAAUAUGAAUUGAAGAGCCUAACCCAAAACUUGGAAUCACUUAGCAAGAAAUCGAUAUAUUUUAAAGAGAAGUAGGGAUCUAAAAAUGAACUUAAAAUAUCCAUCCAAAAUAUUGAAAUUCCAUAAAAAGAGUAGAAACAUAAAAGGAAAAACUGGUGGUAAUAACAGUUGAUAACUUUAACCUAAAAGUCGGAAUAACCUAACAAAGAAAUUGAUAAAUUUUAACAGGAAAUGAGGAUCUAAAAAGUGGACUUGAAACUCUCACCCAAAAUAUUAGAAUUCAAUAAAAGGAAUAGGAAUAUAGAAUCAAAAAGUAGUGGCAACAAGAGUUGAUGAACUCAACCCAAAAAUUGGAAUAAUGGACUAAGAAUUUGAUAAAUUCCAAUGCGAAGUAGGGCUCUAAAAGUAAACUAGAAAUAUCUACCGAAAAUGUUGAAACUUUAUAAAAAUAGUUGGAAUCUAGGACUUAAAAGUGGUGGGAAAAUGAGUUGGAAUAACUUACCAGAAAUUAGAUAAAGGCUAAUGGAAUGUAAGAAUGUUGAAAGUAAACUUAAAAUAUCCACGUAAAAAGUUGGAAUUUAAUGAAAAAAGUGAAAAUAUAGAACCAAAAACUGGUGGAAAAAUGAGUUGAAAUAACUUACCAAAAUUUAGAUAAAUCGUAACAAAAAAAUAGGAAUUUGAAAAGUAAACUCGAAACAUGCACUAUAAAUAUUGAAAUGUGACAAAAUAAGUGGGAAUAUAGUUAUUUUGUGACUUGUUUAUAAUACUUGUAUAGUUUCUUGUACUAUUUAUAAAUUUAAAAUUAUUAUAUUCUUUUGCUUCAUUUAAUUACAAUUUUAUCUUUUUUCCCUAUUUUUUUCAUAUUUUUUUCGCAUUAAAAACAAAUUAAAAUGUAAUAUUUAUUAUGUUAACCGGUUAAAAACCGGUUGUAGUGGUUGCGUGCAUGCGCUGUAUGAGAUACAGCGCUGCACUGUAUGAGAUACAGUGCUGCACUGUAGGUUGACUCCUUUUAUUUAUUGCUUCGUAGGAAACUUCAUGUGCAAGAUGACUUGUCACGUUCAAAUAUACGAAGUUUUGACCAUAAAGUUCAGAUAGUGAUGCAUCAUUGGAGUCUACGAACAAACUAAAAUUUAUAAAUGUUAGGUUUUACUCUGUCCGAAUAUAGAAAGUAUUAAAAGAGUGAGAUGAAGGGACUUUUUUUCUUGAUUUAAUGAUUUAAUUGACUUAAUUUUAAUCAAGUUAUUAAGUUUAUUUUUUAAUUUAAUUAAACUUUUU